Long non-coding RNA from Haliotis rubra (blacklip abalone), 125 nucleotides. RefSeq lists it as uncharacterized. The transcript is spliced from 4 exons. NCBI's taxonomy places the organism in Eukaryota, Metazoa, Mollusca, Gastropoda, Lepetellida, Haliotidae. The record is from RefSeq and is a predicted model, not a curated record.
ACACGAUGCUCUUCCGUUCUUCAACCAUAACUGAUCUAAUGAGCCAUUCGCAGUUUCACUGUGCUAGAGUUGGUACUUAGACGUGCAUGGCUUAAUCUUUGAGACAAGCAUAUGAUUACUGGUAG